GGGGCGGUCCCUCCCGCGAGUCCUCCGACCCCCGCAGGGCGCAGGGUGGCGAGCGCCGCUCUCCCGGGCCGAAAGGGCCGAGGGGCGCUUCAUUUUCCCGUCUUCGAAGUGGGGACAGUCGCUGCCGCCCUGCUCCGGGUUGGAAGACAGCCGCUUCCAACCCCGCCUCUGCCCUCCAGCCCCUGCAGCGGCCUGCGGGUCACAGUGGCCGCCCCCCACCCGACCUGCCAGCCCUUUGCACAGCCGUACCCCUCCCCGAGGGAACAGAACUUCCCGCUAUCUCUUCCCUCUGCCUGGAAUGCAGUCCACCCAGCUGAGCCUGCUCCUGCAAGCGGCCUCACGGGGAGGGUUCGGCGACAUACCCAGGCCCAUUUUACAGAAUGCUGACACUGAGACCAGAGCGUUCAGAGGAACCCGCCUCAAGGUGCUCAGCUGGAGAUGGCCUGUAGGGAACUGUGGCCCUGGAGAGGCUGGGAGGGCUAAGCUUUCCUGUUGAGCACUGUGGAGGGAGCACAGACUUGGACCAGUGAGGAAACAGAUUGACUGGACAGUGCUGCUUCAUCUUUCGUCUGCUGAGAUCACUUAUACAGCUGCAACUGGCUGGGGCUCAGUGGGGGUGAAAGAGUCAAGGCUUCACCCACGUGACUGCAGUUGAUGUGAACUAUCAGCCUGGCAACUCAGCUGGCUGCCAGCACAGGCUGUCAUCUCAGAAUCAGGGAUUGUGAGGUUAAGCGAGAGCCUCCCUGCAGCCCUCGGAGCAGCCAAAGAAAGUGCUUGGAGACAGCUGAUCGGAGGCUCGUGAUCCGGAUGGCGACAGCGACAGCAAACAUGAGGCUUAUUGUUGGAGCCCCACCUGCCCUGCCAAAGCUGAGCACACAGCCUUGCAGAUAAGCCUGCCCCCUGCUCCUCCCUCUGUGAGGCAGAGACAGGAAUGGGUGAGGAGGUGAGGCUUGUUUAACGGGCUGAGGCCAGGAGUUCUCCAGUGGCCUCGUGGUUAGAGACCUGGCGUUGUCACUGCUGUAGCUCAGGUUCGAUCCCUGGUCUGGGAACUUCCACAUGCCUCGGGUGCAGCCAAAAAUUAAAAAAUUAAAAUUAAA
This is a long non-coding RNA of Sus scrofa (pig), 1097 nucleotides long. RefSeq lists it as uncharacterized. The record is from RefSeq and is a predicted model, not a curated record. NCBI's taxonomy places the organism in Eukaryota, Metazoa, Chordata, Mammalia, Artiodactyla, Suidae.